GNGCAUCGGGUGCUACCAUGCAGUCGACGAUGAAGCCCAGCUUGCUGGGUGGAUUAGUGGCGAACGGGUGAGUAACACGUGAGCAACGUGCCCAUAACUCUGGGAUAACCUCCGGAAACGGUGGCUAAUACUGGAUAUCUAACACGAUCGCAUGGUCUGUGUUUGGAAAGAUUUUUUGGUUAUGGAUCGGCUCACGGCCUAUCAGCUUGUUGGUGAGGUAAUGGCUCACCAAGGCGACGACGGGUAGCCGGCCUGAGAGGGUGACCGGCCACACUGGGACUGAGACACGGCCCAGACUCCUACGGGAGGCAGCAGUGGGGAAUAUUGCACAAUGGGCGAAAGCCUGAUGCAGCAACGCCGCGUGAGGGAUGACGGCCUUCGGGUUGUAAACCUCUUUUAGUAGGGAAGAAGCGAAAGUGACGGUACCUGCAGAAAAAGCACCGGCUAACUACGUGCCAGCAGCCGCGGUAAUACGUAGGGUGCAAGCGUUGUCCGGAAUUAUUGGGCGUAAAGAGCUCGUAGGCGGUUUGUCGCGUCUGCUGUGAAAUCCCGAGGCUCAACCUCGGGUCUGCAGUGGGUACGGGCAGACUAGAGUGUGGUAGGGGAGAUUGGAAUUCCUGGUGUAGCGGUGGAAUGCGCAGAUAUCAGGAGGAACACCGAUGGCGAAGGCAGAUCUCUGGGCCAUUACUGACGCUGAGGAGCGAAAGCAUGGGGAGCGAACAGGAUUAGAUACCCUGGUAGUCCAUGCCGUAAACGUUGGGCGCUAGAUGUGGGGACCAUUCCACGGUUUCCGUGUCGUAGCUAACGCAUUAAGCGCCCCGCCUGGGGGAGUACGGCCGCAAGGCUAAAACUCAAAGGAAUUGACGGGGGCCCGCACAAGCGGCGGAGCAUGCGGAUUAAUUCGAUGCAACGCGAAGAACCUUACCAAGGCUUGACAUAUACCGGAAACGUUCAGAAAUGUUCGCCCCGCAAAGGUCGGUAUACAGGUGGUGCAUGGUUGUCGUCAGCUCGUGUCGUGAGAUGUUUGGGUUAAGUCCCGCAACGAGCGCAAACCCUCGUCGUAUGUUGCCAGCACGUAAUGGUGGGAACUCAUAUGAGACUGCCGGGGUCAACUCGGAGAAGUGGGAUGACGUCAAAUCAUCAUGCCCCUAUGUCUGGGCUUCACGCAUGCUACAUGGNUGNNACCAUUGGNNUGGCCAAUAACCGCNAGNGNANCGGAAUUCCCA
RNAcentral lists this ribosomal RNA (1226 nucleotides) under Gammaproteobacteria bacterium. RNAcentral's name for it is "bacterial SSU rRNA". It matches the Rfam family "Bacterial small subunit ribosomal RNA", at positions 37 to 1277 of the family's 1533-position model. The record is from RNAcentral. Lineage: Bacteria; Pseudomonadati; Pseudomonadota; Gammaproteobacteria.